UUGGACACGGUUUGAUUGGACACAGUUCGAUUGCGCACCGUACGAUUGCACACCGUUCAAUUGCACAAUCGAACUAUAUCCAAUCGUAUUGUGUCCAAUCGAACGGUAUCCAAUCGAACAGUGUCCAAUCGAACAGUAUUCAAUCGAACGGUGUCCAAUCAAACGGUGUCCAAUUGAACGGUGCGCAAUUGAACGGUGUGCAAUGUUUCGUGUCUAAUAGCACGGUGGGUAAUUGCAACGUGUCCAAUUGUACUGUGCGCAAAUGAAGGCCUUUCUGCGGGGGAUACUCGUAGGCGCGAGGAGGUAAUUAAAGGUGGAGUUUGCAGUCAUGACUGUAUAAUAAUUCUCCUGCGACUUGAGUAUUAAGCCAACAGGAAUCGUAAAUUGUGUCCCGGUAUAUCUCUACGCUUGGUUGUGGAUGACUGUCCUGGUGGAUUUAUUAUCUUCUUUUAUGUGGCGGUUUUGGCUGCGGGAUUUUACUGAAAACAGGCGUUGAUGGACUGUUUGGAUUGGUUGAGAAGCGAAGUGAUGAAGGACAACAUGAGCACCUGCAUGUGCGCUUCUACUGGCGCCUCCACAGUAACAUGUAUGAAGACUAGAACCAGGAGAUCGAACUAAACCUGAUUUUGCCUUCAAAAGUGAGGCGAAAAUCUGUUAGAAAUGUAGUACCAAAUGGUGGCGCUGGCGAUAGUGAUUUGUGGCAGCCCUUGCGAUUUAUUCUCCAUUUUUAGUUAUUUUCUAUUUUUUUGUGCAUUUACACUUUAUUUAUUUGUUAUCAAACUAAUUUCAAGCAAUUUAUGUUUCUUAGAUACUUAAAAAAAGAAUGUUUAUUAAAAAAAAGAAAUUCAUUCAUUCAUUUGUAAGCUUGAUAUUAGUAAACACGUAUUACUUUACAAAGUCUUUUUAUUUCAUAAAUAUAAGACACUGAUCUCAUUAAAGUGGAUAUGGCAUAGGACAAAAUAAGUGUGACCAAUUGAAGGUUGUAGUCUCUGUACACAAUAUGGCGGUGUAUACGAAUACGAACACAGUUUACUGUGACGAUGAUACAAAAUUCCACGUGUAAUUAAUUAUCUAUAGACGUAGAUGUGUAGCAGUUUUAUCCAAAAUAUUACUUUUUUUAUAAUAGAAAUAGUAAAAUAGUAAAAUAGUGAGAUUCCAAAAUUAAAAAAUGUGUUUAUUGUGGAAAAGGAAGUAAAAAUAAACAAUGAACGUUUCAUAGAUUCCCAAACAAGGAAAAAUAUUCACAAUUAUUUGAAAAAUGGAUUAAAAUAUGAACCUGGAUUCAAAUAUGUACCUCAUAAGUACAUAAGGAUUUGUUGAAUAUACAUUUUUAUUAUGUUGCUUUAAAUUACAAAUUUAAGUUUUAAGUGAUAUGUUUGUUUUGAAUUCAUAUAUUUUAUGUUAUAAAAUAUAUUUAUAAUGUAACAUUAUUGUCAUUAUGUUUAAAUAGCACAGCAUGUGACUUGCAAAGUUUAAUAAAGCACGCAAAAUAACA
This is a long non-coding RNA of Monomorium pharaonis (pharaoh ant), 1495 nucleotides long. RefSeq lists it as uncharacterized. NCBI's taxonomy places the organism in Eukaryota, Metazoa, Arthropoda, Insecta, Hymenoptera, Formicidae. The transcript has 2 exons. The record is from RefSeq and is a predicted model, not a curated record.